Molecule: ribosomal RNA, 523 nt
Filed under: Sostea sp. UPOL RK0676
Lineage: Eukaryota; Metazoa; Arthropoda; Insecta; Coleoptera; Dryopidae
Description: partial 16S ribosomal RNA
Rfam family: Bacterial large subunit ribosomal RNA
Source: RNAcentral
CAUGUCCUUAAGUUAAAAAUUUAAGGUCUAACCUGCCCAGUGAUUAUUUAAAUGGCCGCGGUAUAUUGACCGUGCAAAGGUAGCAUAAUAAUUAGUUUUUUAAUUGAAAACUAGAAUGAAUGGUUGGACGAGAAAAUUUCUGUCUCUUUUUUAAUUUUGUAGAAUUUAAUUUUUAAGUUAAAAAGCUUAAAUGAAUUAAAAAGACGAGAAGACCCUAUAGAGUUUUAUAUUCUAAAAAAUUUUAAAUUUUAGUAUUUAUUAUAGGAUUUUAGGAGAAUAUUUUGUUGGGGUGACAAAAAGAUAAAAAUAACUCUUUUUUUUAAAAAAACAUUGAUAAAUGAGUUUAUGAUCCAUUUUUUACGAUUAUAAGAUUAAAUUACCUUAGGGAUAACAGCGUUAUUUUUUUAGAGAGUUCAAAUCGAUAAAAGAAAUUGCGACCUCGAUGUUGGAUUAAAGUUUAUUUUUGGUGCAAAAGCUUGAAUAUUAGGUCUGUUCGACCUUUAAAACUUUACAUGAUCUGAGU